UCUGCCAAUAGACAGGGAACCUGCCUCGUCGGGCUCGGGUAGGUUCGGCUAAAGGUUGAAGGGGUUCCCAAGGAAACCAGCUCAUCUGGUUGGUCCCGGGCCCUGUAGUGACCGGCAGUGACUUCACUGGAUGUCUGGGACUCAGAAUCUCCAUCUGUAAGCAUGCUGGAGGCUCUCCCCUGCCCCCCAGCUCACCGACAACACCUCAAUCUCAGUGAUGUUCCAGAAGGCUUUCCAGAAGUGCACAUCCAGUGUUCCCCGAAGGACACCAGCCCGAUGGAGAGAGUCUGCAGGAACGGCCGGAUGGCAGGCGUGAACUGUGAAGGGAUGCCUGUGUCACCCA
Peromyscus leucopus (white-footed mouse) is the source of this 343-nucleotide long non-coding RNA. RefSeq lists it as uncharacterized. The record is from RefSeq and is a predicted model, not a curated record. The transcript is spliced from 3 exons. Lineage: Eukaryota; Metazoa; Chordata; Mammalia; Rodentia; Cricetidae.